This 538-nucleotide ribosomal RNA is filed under the name uncultured bacterium. RNAcentral describes it as "bacterial SSU rRNA". It matches the Rfam family "Bacterial small subunit ribosomal RNA", at positions 777 to 1314 of the family's 1533-position model. The record is from RNAcentral.
AAUAGAUACCCGGGUAGUCCACGCCGUAAACGAUGAGUGCUAAGUGUUAGGGGGUUUCCGCCCCUUAGUGCUGCAGCUAACGCAUUAAGCACUCCGCCUGGGGAGUACGGCCGCAAGGCUGAAACUCAAAGGAAUUGACGGGGGGCCCGCACAAGCGGUGGAGCAUGUGGUUUAAUUCGAAGCAACGCGAAGAACCUUACCAGGUCUUGACAUCUCCUGACCGCCCUGGAGACAGGGUCUUCCCUUCGGGGACAGGAUGACAGGUGGUGCAUGGUUGUCGUCAGCUCGUGUCGUGAGAUGUUGGGUUAAGUCCCGCAACGAGCGCAACCCUUGUCCUUAGUUGCCAGCAUUCAGUUGGGCACUCUAAGGAGACUGCCGGCUAAAAGUCGGAGGAAGGUGGGGAUGACGUCAAAUCAUCAUGCCCCUUAUGACCUGGGCUACACACGUGCUACAAUGGGCGGUACAGAGGGUCGCGAACCCGCAAGGGGGAGCCAAUCCCAAAAAACCGCUCUCAGUUCGGAUUGCAGGCUGCAACUCG